This 393-nucleotide ribosomal RNA is filed under the name uncultured bacterium. Its description in RNAcentral is "bacterial SSU rRNA". It matches the Rfam family "Bacterial small subunit ribosomal RNA", at positions 30 to 418 of the family's 1533-position model. The record is from RNAcentral.
AUUGAACGCUGGCGGCAUGCCUUACACAUGCAAGUCGAACGGCAGCGGACCUUCGGGUGCCGGCGAGUGGCGAACGGGUGAGUAAUAUAUCGGAACGUACCUUUCAGUGGGGGAGUAACGUAGCGAAAGUUACGCUAAUACCGCAUAUUCUGUGAGCAGGAAAGCAGGGGAGUCGCAAGACCUUGCGCUGAUUGAGCGGCCGAUAUCAGAUUAGCUAGUUGGUGAGGUAAAGGACUCACCAAGGACGACGAUCUGUAGCGGGUCUGAGAGGAUGAUCCGCCACACUGGAACUGAGACACGGUCCAGACUCCUACGGGAGGCAGCAGUGGGGAAGUUUUGGUACAAUGGGCGGCAAGCCUGAUCCAGCCAUGCCGCGUGAGUGAAGAAGGCCUC